AUGAACAAUGAUGUAGGAGAUGAACACGAACCAACGCCUAUAAGGCACUGGACAGCCACCUCAUCUCAUGAUGUAUACAUGGUGGACACACCCAAAGGAAGCGACGAUGAGGAACACAGGGAUGCAACGAGGGAUCGUUCACUCGAAAAGCAAUCAAAGCGGCGACGUAAGCACCGCUCCAAGCCCCGCCUCGACAGAGACAACAGCCAUACAAACCCAGCCAUAGAGCAGGAUGAGCCGGCGGACGACGAACAUGCCUUCGAGCAAGCGUCCGAACAGGGAAACUUGGAUAAACAAACCGAACACCCCGUCCCCGGCGAAAACAACAGUCCGGACGACCUUACGCCGGAUAAACUCAUGGAGCAGAAGAACCUCCACAAAAGGCUCGUCGCCACUGCGCAUAGCCUGAAAAAGCAGAAGCGGAAGCUCAAAACUGCGGAAUAUGCACUCAGAAUCAGAUGGAGCAAAGUACGCAACACCGCAGACAAAUAUGCCGGCAGUUGUCACGACCGGGUUUUCUGGGUAUAA
RNAcentral lists this ribosomal RNA (528 nucleotides) under Triticum aestivum (bread wheat). RNAcentral describes it as "partial small subunit ribosomal RNA". The record is from RNAcentral. Lineage: Eukaryota; Viridiplantae; Streptophyta; Magnoliopsida; Poales; Poaceae.